UUGACCUCGGAUCAGGUAGGGAUACCCGCUGAACUUAAGCAUAUCAAUAAGCGGAGGAAAAGAAACCAACAGGGAUUGCCUCAGUAACGGCGAGUGAAGCGGCAAAAGCUCAAAUUUGAAAUCUGGCUCCUUCGGGGCCCGAGUUGUAAUUUGCAGAGGAUGCUUCGGGCGUGGCCGCGGUCUAAGUCCCCUGGAACGGGGCGUCGCAGAGGGUGAGAAUCCCGUCUUCGGCCGGCCGGCUUCGCCCAUGUGAAGCUCCUUCGACGAGUCGAGUUGUUUGGGAAUGCAGCUCUAAAUGGGUGGUAAAUUUCAUCUAAAGCUAAAUAUUGGUCGGAGACCGAUAGCGCACAAGUAGAGUGAUCGAAAGAUGAAAAGCACUUUGAAAAGAGAGUUAAACAGCAUGUGAAAUUGUUGAAAGGGAAGCGCUUGCGACCAGAGUCGGCCGCGGGGGUUCAGCGGGCAUUCGUUGCCCGUGCACUCCCCCGCGGGCGGGCCAGCGUCGGUUUCGACGGCCGGUCAAAGGCCCCCGGAAUGUGUCGCCUCUCGGGGCGUCUUAUAGCCGGGGGUGCAAUGCGGCCAGUCGGGACCGAGGAACGCGCUUCGGCACGGACGCUGGCUUAAUGGUCGUAAGCGACC
Molecule: ribosomal RNA, 636 nt
Filed under: Blastomyces helicus
Lineage: Eukaryota; Fungi; Ascomycota; Eurotiomycetes; Onygenales; Ajellomycetaceae
Description: eukaryotic LSU rRNA
Rfam family: Eukaryotic large subunit ribosomal RNA
Source: RNAcentral